CCAGAACAAAUGUUUCCACAUUCCAACAUAUAAUUUUUCAGUCUCGAACAAAUGUUAUAAUCAGGGCUCGUACUGCAACAAGGCGCCCACUGGGCCAGCAUCAAAUCACACUACAGUUACAACAAUUGCAAUCACAAAUCUAAACAAACGCCAGCCUCAUAGUUCUAAUGGCACUAGCCUCACACUUAAGAAAAAGAAAACUAGCUUUUUUGACAUCACAACACAGCGCAUUAGAAACAGGGCAAUCUCAUUUCCAUUGUCUUCGUGCAACUGUUCUUCCGAUGCUCUCCAACACAAUAAUUCUUGGAUCGUCUUGGCUUUCUUGGCAGUUUCGGGACGUCGCCCGUGUCGGGCAAGUUGUUCUCUACACCGGCUUCCCCCUGUGAAACAUUAUAUGUUGUUUAACAUUCCUAUGAUUUUCAGGGGUAUAACAAAACGACAACAUUCCUGACUGUACUUACCGAGCACCCACAUACGAUUUUCUUGCAUGCAUUUGUUCCCUCCACAUUCAAUCUGCUCUUCCAUGUCUUAUUACAAAACAUUUCUCCAGGAAUAUAAGUUGUAGGAAUCAAAAGCUCUCCGAGCGAGUAAAAGCUUGUACCUAAAGUCGGCACAC
This 616-nucleotide long non-coding RNA is filed under the name Triticum aestivum (bread wheat). RNAcentral describes it as "long non-coding RNA (TAES_LNC016852)". The record is from RNAcentral. Lineage: Eukaryota; Viridiplantae; Streptophyta; Magnoliopsida; Poales; Poaceae.